GCGCCCAUAGCUCAACUGGAUAGAGUACUUGACUACGAAUCAAGCGGUUAGAGGUUCGACUCCUCUUGGGCGCA
Brochothrix campestris FSL F6-1037 is the source of this 74-nucleotide transfer RNA. It matches the Rfam family "tRNA". Rfam says of the family: Transfer RNA (tRNA) molecules are approximately 80 nucleotides in length. The record is from Rfam. NCBI's taxonomy places the organism in Bacteria, Bacillati, Bacillota, Bacilli, Caryophanales, Listeriaceae.